UGGGGAAUCUUCCGCAAUGGACGAAAGUCUGACGGAGCAACGCCGCGUGUAUGAUGAAGGUCUUCGGAUUGUAAAGUACUGUCAUUGGGGAAGAACGGUUUUCUUGAAAAGAUUGAGAAGACAUGACGGUACCCAAGGAGGAAGCCCCGGCUAACUACGUGCCAGCAGCCGCGGUAAUACGUAGGGGGCAAGCGUUGUCCGGAAUUAUUGGGCGUAAAGGGCGCGUAGGCGGGCUUUUAAGUCCGGUGUGAAAGAUCAGGGCUCAACCCUGAGAGUGCAUCGGAAACUGGAGGCCUUGAGGACAGGAGAGGAAAGUGGAAUUCCACGUGUAGCGGUGAAAUGCGUAGAUAUGUGGAGGAACACCAGUGGCGAAGGCGACUUUCUGGACUGUAACUGACGCUGAGGCGCGAAAGCGUGGGGAGCAAACAGGAUUAGGAUACCCUGGUAGUCCACGCCGUAAACGAUGAGUGCUAGGUGUAGAGGGUAUCGACCCCUUCUGUGCCGCAGUUAACACAAUAAGCACUCCGCCUGGGGAGUACGGCCGCAAGGUUGAAACUCAAAUGAAUUGAC
Molecule: ribosomal RNA, 570 nt
Filed under: uncultured bacterium
Lineage: Bacteria
Description: partial 16S ribosomal RNA
Rfam family: Bacterial small subunit ribosomal RNA
Source: RNAcentral